CUUUUUUUCAAAAGGUACAUUCUGCUCUCUUGAAACUUAUCUGGAAUAAAAAACAAUCUAGGAUUAAAUAAUCCAUACUCCAAAAGCUCAGGGUUAGUGGGGGUGUAGGUUUGCCAGACUUGAUUCAUUAUUAUUAUGCAACUAAUGCAGCGAUGGUGCUGAAGUUCAACCAAGAGCAUGAUAUUUUAUGGCUGCUUCCAUUUCAGUUCACAAGGUUGGCGGACAUGUUUCUUACGACCAAAACCACUAUUAAGGCUUGGAAUAU
This is a non-coding RNA of Pelobates cultripes (western spadefoot toad), 265 nucleotides long. The record is from the annotation of a GenBank genome assembly. Lineage: Eukaryota; Metazoa; Chordata; Amphibia; Anura; Pelobatidae.